CCUACGGGUGGCUGCAGUGGGGGAUAUUGGACAAUGGGGGGAACCCUGAUCCAGCGACGCCGCGUGAGUGAAGAAGGAUUUCGGUAUGUAAAGCUCUGUCAGCAGGGAAGAAAGAAAUGACGGUACUGGACCAAGAAGCCCCGGCUAACGACGGGCCAGCAGCCGCGGCAAUACGUAGGGGGCAAGCGUUAUCCGGAAUUACUGGGUGUAAAGGGAGCGUAGACGGUUAAGUAAGUCUGGAGUGAAAGGCCGGGGCCCCACCCCGGGACUGCUCUGGAAACUAUUGAACUUGAGUGCAGGAGAGGUAAGCGGAAUUCCUAGUGUAGCGGUGAAAUGCGUAGAUAUUAGGAGGAACACCAGUGGCGAAGGCGGCUUACUGGACUGCCACUGACAUUGAUGCUCGAAAGUGUGGGUAUCAAACAGGAUUAGAUACCCCUGUAGUC
RNAcentral lists this ribosomal RNA (443 nucleotides) under uncultured bacterium. Its description in RNAcentral is "partial 16S ribosomal RNA". It matches the Rfam family "Bacterial small subunit ribosomal RNA", at positions 338 to 795 of the family's 1533-position model. The record is from RNAcentral.